Non-coding RNA from Trametes elegans, 106 nucleotides. The record is from the annotation of a GenBank genome assembly. Lineage: Eukaryota; Fungi; Basidiomycota; Agaricomycetes; Polyporales; Polyporaceae.
GAACCCUUGGCACAGUGGUAGCGCGUGAGAUUCCAGUUCCAUCUGCGACACGUAAGCAGAUCUCGUGGUUUCCUCAAGGUCGUCCGUUCAAUCCGGGCAGGGUUCA